RNAcentral lists this ribosomal RNA (406 nucleotides) under uncultured bacterium. RNAcentral's name for it is "partial 16S ribosomal RNA". It matches the Rfam family "Bacterial small subunit ribosomal RNA", at positions 30 to 526 of the family's 1533-position model. The record is from RNAcentral.
AUUGAACGCUGGCGGCAGGCCUAACACAUGCAAGUCGAACGAGUGGCGGACGGGUGAGUAAUGUCUGGGAAACUGCCUGAUGGAGGGGGAUAACUACUGGAAACGGUAGCUAAUACCUCAUACCAUCGGAUGUGCCCAGAUGGGAUGAGCUAGUAGGUGGGGUAAAGGCUCACCUAGGCGACGAUCCCUAGCUGGUCUGAGAGGAUGACCAGCAACACUGGAACUGAGACACGGUCCAGACUCCGACGGGAGGCAGCAGUGGGGAAUAUUGCACAAUGGGCGAAAGCCUGAUGCAGCCAUGCCGCGUGUAUGAAGAAGGCCUUCGGGUUGUAAAGUACUUUCAGUGGGGAGGCGUUACCCGCAGAAGAAGCACCGGCUAACUCCGUGCCAGCAGCCGCGGUAAUUC